Molecule: long non-coding RNA, 2283 nt
Organism: Numida meleagris (helmeted guineafowl)
Lineage: Eukaryota; Metazoa; Chordata; Aves; Galliformes; Numididae
Exons: 3
Source: RefSeq, a predicted model, not a curated record
CAAGUCCUGGCCAAAGUUGGAAAAAUCUUUUGUCUGAAGAUUCGCAGGCCGGGGGCAAGGAGAAAGAGAUAAGUGCCAGCUUAAUGGCCGGGAAAUGGUCUUUUGUGUGGGCUCAUCUGGGGGGAGACAGCCAUCUCAGGGGUGCUGCACAUGACUUACCUAAGCGCCCAGGACUGCCACGAUUGGCAGAAGAAGGAUAAAAAAGGGACCUACAACCAAGAGAGGUGAGGUCUCUGACAUCAGAUUCCUCCAUGGAAGAGGGGAGGGGGAUGAGAGGAUGAAGCACAUCCCAUGCAGGACAGAGCCCUGGAGACGCAGGCCAAAGAGAAAAGUUGUUUGGCUGCAAGAGUCAUGAAAAAUACAUAGUGAGAAGUGCCUGGAGGGGUGAGGGCUGGUGAUAAAGCACAGCAACACAGAGAAGUGCUCUAACCUCGAGCAGAAAGGACAGGAACAAAUUCAGCAGGGUCCUGCAUCGAUGGGGUGGGACACAGCCUCAGCCAUGGCACAGCUGGGGGGGGGAUGGGGGCCAUUCCAGAAACAUGGAUGCUUGUCCCAGCCUUCAGUGCCAGCUUCGACAACACAGAUGUUCUUGCCUCUGGCUUUCACAGGCAGCUGACAGGUUAUCAAAGCAUCACGAGUGACUCAAUGUGUGAUGUAACUCCCAGGUCUUCCCUCCCGCUCCUCAUCCCCAGGCACAACAGCUCACGGGGACGCGGGCACGGCCACAGCCAUCCCACCUGUGCCUGACCAGUGAUGGUGCAUGAUGCUCAGUUGGUGACGGUGGGUGACCUGGCUCCAGGGCUCCUGCAGGACUUCCUCAAACCAACCACUGCAAGAGAGCCGAUCACUUUCCAUUAAAUGGUUUGAGCUAAACAUGAGGACUCCUAAUCCCUACUCUGGUAAAACUUCAGUUUGCGUAACUGGUGGCUCUGAAGAAAAGGAACAUUACAGUGACUUCAGCUCAGAUGUGGACCACUGAGCACAGCCACGCAGAUACAGCUGCGCCUUUUUACAAUGAUUUUUCUGGAACCUAAAAUUAAAACCUUACUUAAAAAUGCACCUAUCUGCCUUGUCUCACUGCAUUACAACCCUCUGACAUGAAGGAGGCAGACAUUUUCAGUGCAAGGUGUACAGAAGAGAGCUCCUGCUCUUGGUAGCAGACUGCUUCAGAGAUCCCAUUCCUGCAGAGGAACCAGAGCCCGGGACACAUCCAGAGCAUCCCUGAGACACUGGAACUCUCCACUGCCUCUGCUGCAAAAAAUACAUGUGCACAGCAUCCUGCUCGUGAAACCAAACCUUAGUGCUUGGAGCGUGAAUUUAUUUUCUGUUACAGAUCGUCCUAGAAAUGUGGUAGGUACUAAUGCAGGAUUUAACAUAUGAAACGAUCAUGACAGAUUAGGAAUUAGUUCUACUAGAACUAGAAAAUCAUCAAACAAUAAAAAUUCCACGUCGGCAUUAGGUACUGAUUUCAGUUCUCAUGGCUGGAGCGCAUCUCCAUCUGUUGCUGCUAACAACAAAUGCAACGAGCAAAUCCAGAACACAGACUUGGAGCACGUAAGCGCGUACUGCAGGUCCUUGAUUAAGGAAACAAAUCAGUAACCGUCCAACAUGCACAGAAUUAACAAAGAAGCAGAUGUUUAAAUGUGCUUGCUUUAAUUUGAUGCCAAAUUAAUGUAUACAUUCUCUAGUACUCAUCAAUAUUUCACCCUUUUAAGCCUGUCACUGGCAGUGAACAGCAGAUAGGGAUGUUUUUCAUUAGUGCCUCUGAAACUGUAACUUUCUUUUUAAUUUAAUGAUGUGUGUUAUUCAGAAAAAUCAGCGCAUAUUUUAAAAUAGAAAAUGAGAAAACAACUGCAAGAACAAGACAGAAUACAAUCCAGUUCUCAUCAGUAAGCUGGCUGGUUUGUUUCAUUUUGUUGUUUCAUAUAUUCCAAUGACAAUGAGCAUUGAGCCUCGAUUUUUUAUGAAAAAGCCAUAGGAGAAGUUGGAAACGUUGCUUCAAAGCAGAACAGAUCUUUUGGCGUAUGAAGGCUCUCUCAUUACCUAGAGUCCAAAACUGUAACUGUGAUCAGCACUGUGUUGACUUGAGGGGAAGAACUAUCAACACUUAGAAAUAAAAGCCACUGAAGAGCAGUACACUCUGCUUGAACGGGGAAAAAGGAAGCAAGAAAUGAAGCUGUGCCCUCCAAGCAGCCUGUGGAAACAGCUUGACACUUCAUUGCGGCGUGCAUCCCCACCACUGACGCGGCAGGGCUGGUGCACCAUGUCCUCACGCUCAGCUGG